UACAGAGGGUGCGAGCGUUAAUCGGAAUUACUGGGCGUAAAGCGCGCGUAGGCGGCUUUGCAAGUCGGGUGUGAAAUCCCCAGGCUUAACCUGGGAACUGCAUUCGAGACUGCAUUGCUAGAGUAUGGGAGAGGGAAGUGGAAUUUCCGGUGUAGCGGUGAAAUGCGUAGAUAUCGGAAGGAACAUCAGUGGCGAAAGCGACUUCCUGGACCAAUACUGACGCUGAGGCGCGAAAGCUAGGGGAGCGAACGGG
Molecule: ribosomal RNA, 253 nt
Filed under: uncultured bacterium
Lineage: Bacteria
Description: partial 16S ribosomal RNA
Rfam family: Bacterial small subunit ribosomal RNA
Source: RNAcentral